AACGAACGCUGGCGGCAGGCUUAACACAUGCAAGUCGAACGGUUGUAGCAAUACAGCAGUGGCGCACGGGUGAGUAACGCGUGGGAACGUACCUUUUAGUUCGGAAUAACCAUUGGAAACGAUGGCUAAUACUGGAUACGCCCUUCGGGGGAAAGAUUUCUCGCUAAAAGAUCGGCCCGCGUAAGAUUAGGUAGUUGGUGGGGUAAUGGCCUACCAAGCCUACGAUCUUUAGCUGGACUGAGGGGAUGAUCAGCCACACUGGAACUGAGACACGGUCCAGACGCCUACGGGGUGCAGCAGUGGGGAAUAUUGGACAAUGGGCGAAAGCCUGAUCCAGCCAUGCCGCGGGGGUGAUGAAGGCCUUAGGGUUGUAAAGCUCUUUUGUCAGGGAAGAUAAUGACGGUACCUGAAGAAUAAGCACCGGCUAACUUCGUGCCAGCAGCCGCGGUAA
Molecule: ribosomal RNA, 451 nt
Filed under: uncultured bacterium
Lineage: Bacteria
Description: partial 16S ribosomal RNA
Rfam family: Bacterial small subunit ribosomal RNA
Source: RNAcentral